Molecule: long non-coding RNA, 202 nt
Organism: Aptenodytes forsteri (emperor penguin)
Lineage: Eukaryota; Metazoa; Chordata; Aves; Sphenisciformes; Spheniscidae
Exons: 3
Source: RefSeq, a predicted model, not a curated record
GUCCCCUGCUGACGGCUCUCCCUCUGCCACAGGGCGCGGGGUUCAGGUGGGCGUCCCCGAGCCAGUCCCCAGAGGAGCACAGGAGGGUGGUGACGCUGGAGAAGAAGGCAGAGGAGACCUUCGGCUUCGAGAUCCAGACCUACGGGCUGCACCACCAGGACAGGAACAGCGUGGAGAUGUUCACCUUCGUGUGCCGGGUGCA